Molecule: non-coding RNA, 136 nt
Organism: Triticum aestivum (bread wheat)
Lineage: Eukaryota; Viridiplantae; Streptophyta; Magnoliopsida; Poales; Poaceae
Source: Rfam
AAGAUACUCCCUCCGUUCCAAAAUUCUUGUCUUAGAUUUGUCUAGAUACGGAUGUAUCUAAUACUAAAACGUGACUUGAUACAUCCGUAUUAAGACAAAAUCUAAGACAAGAAUUUUGAGAUGGAGGGAGUAGUAG